Molecule: ribosomal RNA, 484 nt
Filed under: uncultured bacterium
Lineage: Bacteria
Description: partial 16S ribosomal RNA
Rfam family: Bacterial small subunit ribosomal RNA
Source: RNAcentral
AUUGAACGCUGGCGGCAGGCCUAACACAUGCAAGUCGAGCGGAUGAAGGGAGCUUGCUCCUGGAUUCAGCGGCGGACGGGUGAGUAAUGCCUGGGAAUCUGCCUGGUAGUGGGGGAUAGCGUCCGGAAACGGGCGCUAAUACCGCAUACGUCCUGAGGGAGAAAGUGGGGGAUCUUCGGACCGCACGCUAUCAGAUGAGCCUAGGUCGGAUUAGCUAGUUGGUGGGGUAAAGGCCUACCAAGGCGAGGAUCCGUAACUGGUCUGAGAGGAUGAGCAGUCACCCUGGAACUUGGACACGGUCCAGACUCCUACGGGAGGCACCAGUGGGGAACAUUGGACAACGGGCGAAAGCCUGAUCCAGCCAUGCCGCGUGUGUGAAGAAGGUCUUCGGAUUGUAAAGCACUUUAAGUUGGGGGGAAGGGCAGUAAGUUAAUACCUUGCUGUUUUGACGUUACCAACAGAAUAAGCACCGGCUAACUUCGUG